This 497-nucleotide ribosomal RNA is filed under the name uncultured bacterium. RNAcentral describes it as "partial 16S ribosomal RNA". It matches the Rfam family "Bacterial small subunit ribosomal RNA", at positions 28 to 507 of the family's 1533-position model. The record is from RNAcentral.
GAUGAACGCUGGCGGCGUGCCUAAUACAUGCAAGUCGAGCGAACAGAUGAGGAGCUUGCUCCUCUGACGUUAGCGGCGGACGGGUGAGUAACACGUGGAUAACCUACCUAUAAGACUGGGAUAACUUCGGGAAACCGGAGCUAAUACCGGAUAAUAUAUUGAACCGCAUGGUUCAAUAGUGAAAGACGGUUUUGCUGUCACUUAUAGAUGGAUCCGCGCCGCAUUAGCUAGUUGGUAAGGUAACGGCUUACCAAGGCAACGAUGCGUAGCCGACCUGAGAGGGUGAUCAGCCACACUGGAACUGAGACACGGUCCAGACUCCUACGGGAGGCAGCAGUAGGGAAUCUUCCGCAAUGGGCGAAAGCCUGACGGAGCAACGCCGCGUGAGUGAUGAAGGUCUUCGGAUCGUAAAACUCUGUUAUUAGGGAAGAACAAAUGUGUAAGUAAGUAUGCACGUCUUGACGGUACCUAAUCAGAAAGCCACGGCUAACUACGUG